AUAUUCUGUAGCAAGGUUAACCGAAUAGGGGAGCCGGAGGGAAACCGAGUCUUAAUUGGGCGUUAAGUUGCAGGGUAUAGACCCGAAACCCGGUGAUCUAGCCAUGGGCAGGUUGAAGGUUGGGUAACACUAACUGGAGGACCGAACCGACUAAUGUUGAAAAAUUAGCGGAUGACCUGUGGCUGGGGGUGAAAGGCCAAUCAAACCGGGAGAUAGCUGGUUCUCCCCGAAAGCUAUUUAGGUAGCGCCUCGUGAAUUCAUCUCCGGGGGUAGAGCACUGUUUCGGCUAGGGGGCCAUCCCGGCUUACCAACCCGAUGCAAACUGCGAAUACCGGAGAAUGUUAUCACGGGAGACACACGGCGGGUGCUAACGUCCGUCGUGAAGAGGGAAACAACCCAGACCGCCAGCUAAGGUCCCAAAGUCAUGGUUAAGUGGGAAACGAUGUGGGAAGGCCCAGACAGCCAGGAUGUUGGCUUAGAAGCAGCCAUCAUUUAAAGAAAGCGUAAUAGCUCACUGGUCGAGUCGGCCUGCGCGGAAGAUGUAACGGGGCUAAACCAUGCA
Molecule: ribosomal RNA, 562 nt
Filed under: Salmonella enterica subsp. enterica
Lineage: Bacteria; Pseudomonadati; Pseudomonadota; Gammaproteobacteria; Enterobacterales; Enterobacteriaceae
Description: partial 23S ribosomal RNA
Rfam family: Bacterial large subunit ribosomal RNA
Source: RNAcentral